UGGCCAUAGUAGUGUGAUUGAUGGAAAAGAGUUUCCAUGAAAAUCAUAAUUCGACUUGAACUGAUCGAAUCUAUCAUAUGACUGAUGUUGAGGUUUGACGAUUUAUCCAUGACCUGCCAUCUAGUCAGGACUCAUGAUAGAGGGACUAAAUCAUAUGUUAACUACACCUUGAGGUUCAUUUCAGUUCUACUGGGUUGCCCCUACAUACUGCUAGGUGU
RNAcentral lists this long non-coding RNA (218 nucleotides) under Elaeis guineensis (African oil palm). Its description in RNAcentral is "long non-coding RNA (EGUI_LNC047159)". Lineage: Eukaryota; Viridiplantae; Streptophyta; Magnoliopsida; Arecales; Arecaceae. The record is from RNAcentral.